CACAAAGUGCCGAGUUGGUAACAGUAACAGUAACAGUAUUCGACACACAAAGUGCCGAAUCAGUAACAGUAACAGUAGUCGGCACAUAAGUGCCUAAUCAGUAAGCCGGCAAAUACCCCGUACUCUUCCAUAUCCUAUGGCAUGCCAACUAUAUCCGACUAGCCCGACUAGUUAAUAGGGUAUUUAAUUCACUUUCCAGUAUAAAUUUCCAUCUUAGUUCAGUAUCAAUUAUAAUUUCUUAUUUCAAUCAGUUUCACAGUAUUGCAGUAAUUCAUUAUUUCAGUAUUUUCACAGUUCAAUGCA
This 303-nucleotide long non-coding RNA is filed under the name Gossypium barbadense (sea-island cotton). RNAcentral's name for it is "long non-coding RNA (GBAR_LNC015084)". The record is from RNAcentral. Lineage: Eukaryota; Viridiplantae; Streptophyta; Magnoliopsida; Malvales; Malvaceae.